RNAcentral lists this transfer RNA (73 nucleotides) under Camelus bactrianus (Bactrian camel). It matches the Rfam family "tRNA". From Rfam's summary of the family: Transfer RNA (tRNA) molecules are approximately 80 nucleotides in length. RNAcentral also lists the same sequence under 1 other name. Lineage: Eukaryota; Metazoa; Chordata; Mammalia; Artiodactyla; Camelidae. The record is from Rfam by way of RNAcentral.
AGGGGUAUAGCUCAAGUGGUAGAGCACAUGCUUAGCAUGCAUGAGGUCCUGGGUUCAAUCCCCAGUACCUCCU